CCUUAGAGUUUGAUCCUGGCUCAGGACGAACGCUGGCGGCGCGCCUAACACAUGCAAGUCGAACGAGCGAGAGAGAGCUUGCUUUCUCGAGCGAGUGGCGAACGGGUGAGUAACGCGUGAGGAACCUGCCUCAAAGAGGGGGACAACAGUUGGAAACGACUGCUAAUACCGCAUAAGCCCACGGCUCGGCAUCGAGCAGAGGGAAAAGGAGCAAUCCGCUUUGAGAUGGCCUCGCGUCCGAUUAGCUAGUUGGUGAGGUAAUGGCCCACCAAGGCAACGAUCGGUAGCCGGACUGAGAGGUUGAACGGCCACAUUGGGACUGAGACACGGCCCAGACUCCUACGGGAGGCAGCAGUGGGGAAUAUUGCACAAUGGGGGAAACCCUGAUGCAGCGACGCCGCGUGGAGGAAGAAGGUCUUCGGAUUGUAAACUCCUGUUGUUGAGGAAGAUAAUGACGGUACUCAACAAGGAAGUGACGGCUAACUACGUGCCAGCAGCCGCGGUAAAACGUAGGUCACAAGCGUUGUCCGGAAUUACUGGGUGUAAAGGGAGCGCAGGCGGGAAGACAAGUUGGAAGUGAAAUCUAUGGGCUCAACCCAUAAACUGCUUUCAAAACUGUUUUUCUUGAGUAGUGCAGAGGUAGGCGGAAUUCCCGGUGUAGCGGUGGAAUGCGUAGAUAUCGGGAGGAACACCAGUGGCGAAGGCGGCCUACUGGGCACCAACUGACGCUGAGGCUCGAAAGCAUGGGUAGCAAACAGGAUUAGAUACCCUGGUAGUCCACACCGUAAACGAUGAUUACUAGGUGUGGGGGGACUGACCCCUUCCGUGCCGCAGUUAACACAAUAAGUAAUCCACCUGGGGAGUACGACCGCAAGGUUGAAACUCAAAGGAAUUGACGGGGGCCCGCACAAGCAGUGGAGUAUGUGGUUUAAUUCGAAGCAACGCGAAGAACCUUACCAGGUCUUGACAUCGUAUGCAUAGUCUAGAGAUAGAUGAAAUCCCUUCGGGGACAUAUAGACAGGUGGUGCAUGGUUGUCGUCAGCUCGUGUCGUGAGAUGUUGGGCUAAGUCCCGCAACGAGCGCAACCCUUAUUGCCAGUUACUACGUUAAGAGGACUCUGGCGAGACUGCCGUUGACAAAACGGAGGAAGGUGGGGAUGACGUCAAAUCAUCAUGCCCUUUAUGACCUGGGCUACACACGUACUACAAUGGCGUUAAACAAAGAGAAGCAAGACCGCGAGGUGGAGCAAAACUCAAAAACAACGUCUCAGUUCAGAUUGCAGGCUGCAACUCGCCUGCAUGAAGUCGGAAUUGCUAGUAAUCGUGGAUCAGCAUGCCACGGUGAAUACGUUCCCGGGCCUUGUACACACCGCCCGUCA
Molecule: ribosomal RNA, 1378 nt
Filed under: uncultured bacterium
Lineage: Bacteria
Description: bacterial SSU rRNA
Rfam family: Bacterial small subunit ribosomal RNA
Source: RNAcentral